This 592-nucleotide long non-coding RNA is filed under the name Homo sapiens (human). RNAcentral's name for it is "HSALNT0105093". The record is from RNAcentral. Lineage: Eukaryota; Metazoa; Chordata; Mammalia; Primates; Hominidae.
UGGGUGUCUUCCCUCUCUGGGGUGUGCUGCACUUGGGGGUUCUCCCAGCUCCCUCACCUGGCUCUGGGGUUCCUGAUUUUGUGGCCUGUGAAGUCUUGAUGGUUGCUGCUGUGGAGAUCUCUGGGCUCUGUGAGGCUGUUGGUUUUGGGGUCUUUCCCUCUGGCCCCCCUCGCAUUCCAGCUCCUUCUGUUCACAUGAUUCAUAGGCUGCCUGGACCCCUGGGACAAUGGCCAGCUCCUGGACAUCACCCUGCAAAGACAUGAGAGAGAUGGAGCGGAGAGAUUCAGAGAGAGGCAGAGGGUAUCAUCCGGGAGAAAGAGUAUAGGAGGCCAAUCCUAGAAUACGGGCACCAAAGAUGAUCACUCCAUGGGUGUCCAAUACUGGACGAGCACUUCGGGGGAGAGGCCGGGUGACUCGCUUCUUGCAGUCAACAAUGAGGGUGACAGACUGGCCCUUCACAGCCACAGCCACACGGUGCCACCUGGAAAUGGUGGAAGAGGUUCAAGUGAACUCUUGGCUGACUGAAGUAGGGGAGUCAACAUGGUUGGAGAGCAGUGAUAAGAGUUGAAGCCAAUGGUGAUAAGAGCAGUAA